CAGAACUGAAUAUUGAAGUUUACUUAAAAUGGAAAGUUCUGGAAAGCAGGAGUUACGUGUUUCCAAGGAGGAAACUCUAGGUUUUUCCCAGUGUAAGUGAAUGAUGGCAACUAAGUGGGUAAAGACUCACUAUCUGGGAGGGGGUGGCAAUGGUUCAGCCUGACCCACAGAUGACUGAAACUGAGCUGCCAUCCUGAUCCCAGCGGUAAGUCUCAGAUCUGGGCAAUCCCUGGGUGCAGAUGCUGCACCCCACAGCAUGCCGCCUCAACUGUGUGGCUUCUCAAGCCCGGGUGUCCAUGGAAAGGCUUCCAAGUCUAAGUGGGAGGGAGAUGUUAAAGAGGAGACAAUGACAGCUCUGAAAGUGGGGUGCACUCGAUUCAAACCCCCACACAAAAGGGAUUUGGCUGGACCAUAGAGAAUGGUUUGUAAAAACAAAACACCCUAAGGAACCUCCAUUUCCCCCAGAUAUAUGCAGCCUCCAAAGGCAGACACAAGCCUAAGCCCCCUGGGCCACGAUCAUUUGUCAAGGUGACUUGUAGGCAUAGCACCCCAUUCAACAAUGGAGGACAAGUUGCCAGUGAGAUCAGCCCUCCCUGAGUCAAAGGAAUGAUGCUGGGGUUCCAGAUUCUGAGUGUCAAGAGUAAGGGGCUGGGACCCCUGAGCCGCAGCACACAGAGGAGACACGCGAAUGGAGUGUACUUUCCUCCCCACCUGCGGGAAGGGGGAGGGAACCCCAUUGGGUCUGAGUAUUUCUGGAGGCCUGGCCAUUUGCCAGUAACAAAGAUCCCACCUGUGGGGGACGGCCAGGUCACCAUCGUCCUUGUGUUGGAGGAGGCAAGCAUCAAGAGGCAGGUGACCAGUCGUCUGGCUGGUGUCAGAAGCCUGGCACAGGUUCCACGCAGCCGGCCUGGGCACACAGGCUUCCUCCAUGCGGGGCUCACACGUGUACACGAGUCACACAUACAGGCGAGAUGACUCGGACAACAGGGUGACCCACAACCCAGGGAAACAUGAACUGGCCUCCACGUAUCCUAUUUCCCCUCCUCAACAAAAUCAGACACAUCAAUUUACCUCGUGAAUCAUUUGGGGAAAAAAAAAAGAUUUCAAUCAUCAUGAAAGUCAUGAAACUUGUCAUGAGAUUAAAAUAAAAAAUCAUCCAAAAGACUGCA
This 1169-nucleotide long non-coding RNA is filed under the name Vulpes vulpes (red fox). RNAcentral's name for it is "lncRNA (ENSVVUG00000019507.1)". Lineage: Eukaryota; Metazoa; Chordata; Mammalia; Carnivora; Canidae. The record is from RNAcentral.